GUAGGUGAACCUGCGGAAGGAUCAUUAACGAAACUACCAGCUGCUGCCGUAGCGCAUUGCUGCUUCGGUCAGUCGGCAGGGUCAGUGUGCUGUUUCGCACAGCGUCGCUGAUGACAGUCUGUUGCACAUAAGCUCGGCCUGACCGCUGAGCGAUGGGAAGUCGGCGAUGAUGCUGCGCGGGUGCUUUCCGUGUAUGCUUCGACGUCGCAUGGCGAUACCGCAGUCGUCCGGGUACCUGUCUCGACCGUCU
This 250-nucleotide unclassified non-coding RNA is filed under the name plant metagenome. Its description in RNAcentral is "partial contains small subunit ribosomal RNA, internal transcribed spacer 1, and 5.8S ribosomal RNA". The record is from RNAcentral.